Molecule: ribosomal RNA, 677 nt
Filed under: Salmonella enterica
Lineage: Bacteria; Pseudomonadati; Pseudomonadota; Gammaproteobacteria; Enterobacterales; Enterobacteriaceae
Description: partial 23S ribosomal RNA
Rfam family: Bacterial large subunit ribosomal RNA
Source: RNAcentral
UGUUUCGGCUAGGGGGCCAUCCCGGCUUACCAACCCGAUGCAAACUGCGAAUACCGGAGAAUGUUAUCACGGGAGACACACGGCGGGUGCUAACGUCCGUCGUGAAGAGGGAAACAACCCAGACCGCCAGCUAAGGUCCCAAAGUCAUGGUUAAGUGGGAAACGAUGUGGGAAGGCCCAGACAGCCAGGAUGUUGGCUUAGAAGCAGCCAUCAUUUAAAGAAAGCGUAAUAGCUCACUGGUCGAGUCGGCCUGCGCGGAAGAUGUAACGGGGCUAAACCAUGCACCGAAGCUGCGGCAGCGACACUCAGGUGUUGUUGGGUAGGGGAGCGUUCUGUAAGCCUGUGAAGGUGUGUCGUGAGGCAUGCUGGAGGUAUCAGAAGUGCGAAUGCUGACAUAAGUAACGAUAAAGCGGGUGAAAAGCCCGCUCGCCGGAAGACCAAGGGUUCCUGUCCAACGUUAAUCGGGGCAGGGUGAGUCGACCCCUAAGGCGAGGCCGAAAGGCGUAGUCGAUGGGAAACGGGUUAAUAUUCCCGUACUUGGUGUUACUGCGAAGGGGGGACGGAGAAGGCUAUGUUGGCCGGGCGACGGUUGUCCCGGUUUAAGCGUGUAGGUGUGUGUUCCAGGUAAAUCCGGUUCACUUUAACACUGAGGCGUGAUGACGAGGCACUACGGUGCU